This 494-nucleotide ribosomal RNA is filed under the name uncultured bacterium. RNAcentral's name for it is "bacterial SSU rRNA". It matches the Rfam family "Bacterial small subunit ribosomal RNA", at positions 29 to 517 of the family's 1533-position model. The record is from RNAcentral.
AACGAACGCUGGCGGCGCGCCUAAUACAUGCAAGUCGAGCGAGAAGACGUAGCAAUACGUUUGUAAAGCGGCGAACGGGUGAGGAAUACAUGGGUAACCUACCCUCGAGUGGGGAAUAACUAGCCGAAAGGUUAGCUAAUACCGCGUACGCUCCUUGGACUUCGGUUCAGGGAGGAAAGCGAUACCGUGGGUAUCGCGCUCUUGGAUGGGCUCAUGUCCUAUCAGCUUGUUGGUGAGGAACGGCUCACCAAGGCUUCGACGGGUAGCUGGUCUGAGAGGACGAUCAGCCACACUGGCACUGCGACACGGGCCAGACUCCUACGGGAGGCAGCAGUAAGGAAUAUUGCGCAAUGGGCGAAAGCCUGACGCAGCGACGCCGCGUGGGGGAUGAAGGUCUUCGGAUUGUAAACCCCUUUCGGGAGGGAAGAUGGACGAGCAAUCGUUCGGACGGUACCUCCAGAAGCAGCCACGGCUAACUUCGUGCCAGCACGCCG